UGGGGAAUUUUGGACAAUGGGCGAAAGCCUGAUCCAGCCAUGCCGCGUGCAGGAUGAAGGCCUUCGGGUUGUAAACUGCUUUUGUACGGAACGAAAAGACUCUGGUUAAUACCUGGGGUCCAUGACGGUACCGUAAGAAUAAGCACCGGCUAACUACGUGCCAGCAGCCGCGGUAAUACGUAGGGUGCAAGCGUUAAUCGGAAUUACUGGGCGUAAAGCGUGCGCAGGCGGUUAUAUAAGACAGAUGUGAAAUCCCCGGGCUCAACCUGGGAACUGCAUUUGUGACUGUAUAGCUAGAGUACGGCAGAGGGGGAUGGAAUUCCGCGUGUAGCAGUGAAAUGCAUAGAUAUGCGGAGGAACACCGAUGGCGAAGGCAAUCCCCUGGGCCUGUACUGACGCUCAUGCACGAAAGCGUGGGGAGCAAACAGGAUUAGAUACCCUGGUAGUCCACGCCCUAAACGAUGUCAACUGGUUGUUGGGUCUUCACUGACUCAGUAACGAAGCUAACGCGUGAAGUUGACCGCCUGGGGAGUACGGCCGCAAGGUUGAAACUCAAAUGAAUUGAC
This 566-nucleotide ribosomal RNA is filed under the name uncultured bacterium. RNAcentral's name for it is "partial 16S ribosomal RNA". It matches the Rfam family "Bacterial small subunit ribosomal RNA", at positions 355 to 914 of the family's 1533-position model. The record is from RNAcentral.